GCGGCAGGCCUAACACAUGCAAGUCGAGCGGAUGAGAAGAGCUUGCUCUUCGAUUCAGCGGCGGACGGGUGAGUAAUGCCUAGGAAUCUGCCUGGUAGUGGGGGACAACGUUUCGAAAGGAACGCUAAUACCGCAUACGUCCUACGGGAGAAAGCAGGGGACCUUCGGGCCUUGCGCUAUCAGAUGAGCCUAGGUCGGAUUAGCUAGUUGGUGAGGUAAUGGCUCACCAAGGCGACGAUCCGUAACUGGUCUGAGAGGAUGAUCAGUCACACUGGAACUGAGACACGGUCCAGACUCCUACGGGAGGCAGCAGUGGGGAAUAUUGGACAAUGGGCGAAAGCCUGAUCCAGCCAUGCCGCGUGUGUGAAGAAGGUCUUCGGAUUGUAAAGCACUUUAAGUUGGGAGGAAGGGCAGUAAGUUAAUACCUUGCUGUUUUGACGUUACCGACAGAAUAAGCACCGGCUAACUCUGUGCCAGCAGCCGCGGUAAUACAGAGGGUGCAAGCGUUAAUCGGAAUUACUGGGCGUAAAGCGCGCGUAGGUGGUUCGUUAAGUUGGAUGUGAAAGCCCCGGGCUCAACCUGGGAACUGCAUCCAAAACUGGCGAGCUAGAGUAUGGUAGAGGGUGGUGGAAUUUCCUGUGUAGCGGUGAAAUGCGUAGAUAUAGGAAGGAACACCAGUGGCGAAGGCGACCACCUGGACUGAUACUGACACUGAGGUGCGAAAGCGUGGGGAGCAAACAGGAUUAG
RNAcentral lists this ribosomal RNA (747 nucleotides) under uncultured Pseudomonadota bacterium. Its description in RNAcentral is "bacterial SSU rRNA". It matches the Rfam family "Bacterial small subunit ribosomal RNA", at positions 39 to 781 of the family's 1533-position model. Lineage: Bacteria; Pseudomonadati; Pseudomonadota. The record is from RNAcentral.